CGAGGCGAACCGGGGAAACUGAAACAUCUCAGUACCCCGAGAAAAAGAAAUCAACCGAGAUUCCCCCAGUAGCGGCGAGCAAACGGGGAGCAGCCCAGAGUCAACAUCAAUAUUUACCACAGGAGAAGGGUCUGGAAAAGCCGGCAAUAAAGGGUGAUAGCCCCGUAUCUAAAGCGGUAAGUGUUGUGAACUCGAAGAGUAGGGCGGGACACGUGUUAUCCUGUCUGAAUAUGGGGGGACCAUCCUCCAAGGCUAAAUACUCCUGACUGACCGAUAGUGAACCAGUACCGUGAGGGAAAGGCGAAAAGAACCCCGGCGAGGGGAGUGAAAUAGAACCUAAAACCGUGUACGUACAAGCAGUAGGAGCACCCGAAAGGGUGUGACUGCGUACCUUUUGUAUAAUGAGUCAGCGACUUAUAUUCUGUAGCAAGGUUAACCGCAUAGGGGAGCCGUAGGGAAACCGAGUCUUAACUGGGCGUUAAGUUGCAGGGUAUAGACCCGAAACCCGGUGAUCUAGCCAUAAGCAGGUUGAAG
This 534-nucleotide ribosomal RNA is filed under the name Arsenophonus endosymbiont of Bemisia tabaci. Its description in RNAcentral is "bacterial LSU rRNA". It matches the Rfam family "Bacterial large subunit ribosomal RNA", at positions 175 to 750 of the family's 2925-position model. The record is from RNAcentral. Lineage: Bacteria; Pseudomonadati; Pseudomonadota; Gammaproteobacteria; Enterobacterales; Morganellaceae.